RNAcentral lists this non-coding RNA (30 nucleotides) under Rattus norvegicus (Norway rat). The record is from RNAcentral. Lineage: Eukaryota; Metazoa; Chordata; Mammalia; Rodentia; Muridae.
UAUAUUCUUAAAGAGAACCUUCGAUGCUGC